RNAcentral lists this ribosomal RNA (253 nucleotides) under uncultured bacterium. RNAcentral's name for it is "partial 16S ribosomal RNA". It matches the Rfam family "Bacterial small subunit ribosomal RNA", at positions 524 to 776 of the family's 1533-position model. The record is from RNAcentral.
UACAGAGGGGGCAAGCGUUGUUCGGAAUUACUGGGCGUAAAGGGCGCGUAGGCGGCCCGCUAAGUCGAACGUGAAAUCCCCGAGCUCAACUCGGGAACUGCGUCCGAUACUGGUGGGCUUGAAUCCGGGAGAGGGAUGCGGAAUUCCAGGUGUAGCGGUGAAAUGCGUAGAUAUCUGGAGGAACACCGGUGGCGAAGGCGGCGUCCUGGACCAACACUGACACUGAUGAGCGAAAGCCAGGGGAGCAAACGGG